Molecule: ribosomal RNA, 426 nt
Filed under: uncultured bacterium
Lineage: Bacteria
Description: bacterial SSU rRNA
Rfam family: Bacterial small subunit ribosomal RNA
Source: RNAcentral
UGGGGAAUUGUUCGCAAUGGGCGCAAACCUGACGACGCAACGCCGCGUGGAGGAUGAAGAUCUUCGGGUCGUAAACUCCUGUCGAGCGGGACGAAUGCCUUGCCGGUGAAUAUCCGGCGAGGGUGACGGUACCGCUAAAGGAAGCCCCGGCUAACUCCGUGCCAGCAGCCGCGGUAAUACGGAGGGUGCAAGCGUUAUCCGGAUUCACUGGGUUUAAAGGGUGCGUAGGUGGGUUGGUAAGUCAGUGGUGAAAUCCCCGAGCUUAACUUGGGAACUGCCAUUGAUACUAUCAGUCUUGAAUAUCGUGGAGGUUAGCGGAAUAUGUCAUGUAGCGGUGAAAUGCUUAGAUAUGACAUAGAACACCAAUUGCGAAGGCAGCUGGCUACACGAAUAUUGACACUGAGGCACGAAAGCGUGGGGAUCAAA